AACGAACGCUGGCGGCAUGCCUAACACAUGCAAGUCGAACGAGACCUUCGGGUCUAGUGGCGCACGGGUGCGUAACGCGUGGGAACCUGCCCUUAGGUUCGGAAUAACUCCCCGAAAGGGGUGCUAAUACCGGAUAAUGUCUUCGGACCAAAGAUUUAUCGCCUUUGGAUGGGCCCGCGUUGGAUUAGCUAGUUGGUAGGGUAAAAGCCUACCAAGGCGACGAUCCAUAGCUGGUCUGAGAGGAUGAUCAGCCACACUGAGACUGAGGCACGGCCCAGACUCCUACGGGAAGCAGCAGUGGGGAAUAUUGGACAAUGGGCGAAAGCCUGAUCCAGCAAUGCCGCGUGAGUGAUGAAGGCCUUAGGGUUGUAAAGCUCUUUUACCCGGGAUGAUAAUGACAGUACCGGGAGAAUAAGCUCCGGCUAACUCCGUG
This 433-nucleotide ribosomal RNA is filed under the name uncultured bacterium. RNAcentral's name for it is "partial 16S ribosomal RNA". It matches the Rfam family "Bacterial small subunit ribosomal RNA", at positions 29 to 507 of the family's 1533-position model. The record is from RNAcentral.